GCUAAAUAUGUACAUUUCAUCAGGACGCUGUUAAAGCAUGUGGUUCAGGUGAAAAAAUCUGUGCUAGAACUUAAUUAAUAAUUUUGGAUAAAGCGAUACAAGAUCUAAAUUAAGUUAACUCUUGUACUUUUCUCAACAAAUUGUAUUUCUUACCACGCGUCAUACAAAUAUCAGAACGAGCUGCAGAUUAAUUACUAAAAUUGAACCUUGCUGGACAGUUUGAAGUGCAAGAGCAGUGGCGGCAGUUUGGAAAUUGGUAAGCUCUGAUAGAAGCUGAAGUGCAGAGGUUUUAAGAGUGUUGGCCUUUAAUGAGAGAUGUUUUAAAUGUGAAUAUCAAUAUUUUAGUUUUAUGAGAAAAUAGCUUAACUAUUAGAGCUGUCAUCGUUGUAACGACUAUGGAAUGACUGAACAUAGGAUAUGUAAAUUGCUG
RNAcentral lists this long non-coding RNA (430 nucleotides) under Bos taurus (domestic cattle). RNAcentral's name for it is "long non-coding RNA NONBTAT014158". The record is from RNAcentral. Lineage: Eukaryota; Metazoa; Chordata; Mammalia; Artiodactyla; Bovidae.